RNAcentral lists this ribosomal RNA (270 nucleotides) under uncultured bacterium. RNAcentral describes it as "partial 16S ribosomal RNA". It matches the Rfam family "Bacterial small subunit ribosomal RNA", at positions 28 to 314 of the family's 1533-position model. The record is from RNAcentral.
GACGAACGCUGGCGGCGUGCUUAACACAUGCAAGUCAAGGCCUGUAGCAAUACAGGACUGGCGCACGGGUGCGGAACACGUAGGCAAUCUGCCCGGAAAGGGAGAACAACCAGCCGAAAGGUUGGCUAAAUCUCCGUAAAAUCAUAGAGUGGCAUCACUUAUUGAUCAAGUUUUUUCCGGAUGAGCCUGCGUCUGAUUAGCUAGUUGGCGGGGUAACGGCCCACCAAGGCUACGAUCAGUAGCUGGUCUGAGAGGAUGAUCAGCCACAUU